This 499-nucleotide ribosomal RNA is filed under the name uncultured bacterium. RNAcentral's name for it is "partial 16S ribosomal RNA". It matches the Rfam family "Bacterial small subunit ribosomal RNA", at positions 899 to 1397 of the family's 1533-position model. The record is from RNAcentral.
ACUCAAAUGAAUUGACGGGGGCCCGCACAAGCGGCGGAGCAUGUUGCUUAAUUCGACGCAACGCGAAGAACCUUACCAAGGUUUGACAUCGCCGGUAAACCGCCAGAGAUGGUGGGUCCUUCGGGGAUCGGUGACAGGUGGUGCAUGGCUGUCGUCAGCUCGUGUCGUGAGAUGUUGGGUUAAGUCCCGCAACGAGCGCAACCCUUGUUCCAUGUUGCCAGCACGUAGUGGUGGGGACUCAUGGGAGACUGCCGGGGUCAACUCGGAGGAAGGUGGGGAUGACGUCAAGUCAUCAUGCCCCUUAUGUCUUGGGCUGCAAACAUGCUACAAUGGCCGGUACAAUGGGCGUGCGAUGCCGUGAGGUGGAGCGAAUCCCUAAAAGCCGGUCUCAGUUCGGAUUGGGGUCUGCAACUCGACCCCAUGAAGGUGGAGUCGCUAGUAAUCGCGGAUCAGCAAUGCCGCGGUGAAUACGUUCCCGGGCCUUGUACACACCGCCCGU